GAUGAACGCUGGCGGCGUGCCUAAUACAUGCAAGUCGAGCGAACAGAUAAGGAGCUUGCUCCUUUGAAGUUAGCGGCGAACGGGUGAGUAACACGUGGGUAACCUACCUAUAAGACUGGGAUAACUUCGGGAAACCGGAGCUAAUACCGGAUAACAUUUAGAACCGCAUGGUUCUAAAGUGAAAGAUGGUUUUGCUAUCACUUAUAGAUGGACCCGCGCCGUAUUAGCUAGUUGGUAAGGUAACGGCUUACCAAGGCGACGAUACGUAGCCGACCUGAGAGGGUGAACGGCCACACUGGAACUGAGACACGGUCCAGACUCCUACGGGAGGCAGCAGUAGGGAAUCUUCCGCAAUGGGCGAAAGCCUGACGGAGCAACGCCGCGUGAGUGAUGAAGGGUUCCGGCUCGUAAAACUCUGUUAUUAGGGAAGAACAAAUGUGUAAGUAACUGUGCACAUCUUGACGGUACCUAAUCAGAAAGCCACGGCUAACUACGUGCCAGCCGCCGCAGUAA
RNAcentral lists this ribosomal RNA (513 nucleotides) under uncultured bacterium. Its description in RNAcentral is "partial 16S ribosomal RNA". It matches the Rfam family "Bacterial small subunit ribosomal RNA", at positions 28 to 523 of the family's 1533-position model. The record is from RNAcentral.